UAAAAAAAGGUAAGCUACUAAGAGCGAAUGGUGGAUGCCUUGACUGGUAAAGGCGAUGAAGGACGUACUAGACUGCGAUAAGCUACGGGGAGCUGUCAAGAAGCUUUGAUCCGUAGAUUUCCGAAUGGGGCAACCCAAUGUAUAGAGAUAUACAUUACCUAUAUAGGAGCGAACGAGGGGAAUUGAAACAUCUUAGUACCCUCAGGAAAAGAAAUCAAUAGAGAUUGCGUCAGUAGCGGCGAGCGAAAGCGCAAGAGGGCAAACCCAGUGCUUGCACUGGGGGUUG
This 286-nucleotide ribosomal RNA is filed under the name Campylobacter jejuni. RNAcentral describes it as "partial 23S ribosomal RNA". It matches the Rfam family "Bacterial large subunit ribosomal RNA", at positions 1 to 300 of the family's 2925-position model. The record is from RNAcentral. Lineage: Bacteria; Pseudomonadati; Campylobacterota; Epsilonproteobacteria; Campylobacterales; Campylobacteraceae.